Molecule: long non-coding RNA, 484 nt
Organism: Lycium barbarum (goji berry)
Lineage: Eukaryota; Viridiplantae; Streptophyta; Magnoliopsida; Solanales; Solanaceae
Exons: 3
Source: RefSeq, a predicted model, not a curated record
UAAGAAGGCCAUUUUCGGCCAAGCUCUAGACCAAAAAAAAAAAAAAAUUUUUUUUUUUUUUUUUUUCAAAAAUCAUUUUCUACCAAUUAAAGUGUCCUUUACAACUUGGUGUAAUUAUUUUGGAAGAAAGAACACUUGUUUCUUCAAGUUGACAACUUGGUCAAGUGAAGAAGAUUGUAGAAAAAGAUUUUGGCGAACUUGAAACUUGAUUUUGGAGACGUGUAUGAAGCGGAAAAGGUCAGCAGACAGGUGGACGUGAUCCUUAGAAGCUCUACCAGCCGCACUUGACAGCGCUCCAGUUGUUCCGGAGCCUCACUCCAGCGGUACUAUUUUAUGCAUAUACAUUCGGGCUUGGUAGCACCCCGGCCCUUUCUAUGUAUAAGUGUACUAUGUCUAGAGGCUCGUAGACAGAUACGUACAGUCAGUCAGGUACAGAUAUAUGUAUAGUGUUUUGGCAUGUUAAUAUUGUUGUACAAGGUAAUAA